Molecule: long non-coding RNA, 592 nt
Filed under: Homo sapiens (human)
Lineage: Eukaryota; Metazoa; Chordata; Mammalia; Primates; Hominidae
Description: HSALNT0335691
Source: RNAcentral
GUGAGAACUUCACUGAUGCCUUUCGGCCAAUCGGAUGGUGCUUUUUCCAGGCCCACCCAUGACCGCCCAUGGACCAAUCAGCAUGCACUUCCUCUAUUCUGAGUCCAUAAAAAUCCCUGGAUUCGUACACACACUCUUCGGGAUGACCUGCCUAUGCCAUGAAGCUGAGGAUUGGUAGCCCUUUUAGAGGAACACGUGCUUCCAGACCAGGUUGGAGUGCAGCAGCAUGGUCCCGGCUCACUGCAGUCUUAACCUUCCCUGGCUCAAGUGAUUCUCCUGCUUCAGGUUCCCGAGUAGCUAGGACUACAGGACUGAAUUGAGAUGAGCUUCAAAGUGUGUGCCACAAUGGAGCCAAAAUCAGUGAUGGGCAGAUGGCAAGAAUCAGAACAGAUGGAAAACUGAAAUCAGAUUAUCAGAGACAGAAUAGAGUACUUGAUUAAUUUAAGGAAAAGAUACGUCAAGGGAAUAAAGGGUUACCAUUUCUCUCAUUCUUUCUCUGUUUUUCUCUCUGUCUCUUUCUCUUAUAUACUUUUAUUUAAUUUCAGGUUCAGGGAAGCUGCAAAUUAAAACAAAAUAAAAAAUGUAGUUGUCA